AAUCCCUGCUUUGACUAACCCUUGGAUGGAGAAGAAGGAAAUUACUAUUUGUGUUUGCUUAGAAACGUGAACCUAUAUGGAUCUUUCAGGUUUCCAUAAAACUGACAACUCAAAAAUUUAGUUUGCUGUAGGAAAUAAGGUAUCCUGUGAAUAAAUAUUUAGAGGCAAGAUCUGAGCACUAUGCUACAAUUUCAAAAAUGGUUAAAAUAAGAAUGGCAAAUCUUCAACUUCUGUGAAAACAAACAAGAUAUAGCUUGCUGAACAGGAAACGAACAAGCUUCAAAUGCCACAUUAUUCAAGAAUGCUGCCCUAUUACAGGGAUUUGCUUGUAUUUACUUAAAAUAAACUGGUAACAAAGAAUCAUAGGAUGUUAAAGGUAGAAGAUGCCUUAAACUUCAUUUAAUAUUACACCCUCAUGAGACACCAGAGACCUAGAGGGCCCCCCAAAUUUAUUAAUAAAUUGCUUGUUUGGAAGCCGGAGCAUAUUUUCGCACAAAAAUAUGUGAUAAAUGAUGGGUCGAUGAUGGAAUACAGACCUUUCUCUCCUUUUAUACAGUACUGUAUCCUUGAAGAACUUUGUUUUCUAGUAUUGCUCACUGGGAGUGUAUAACAUUUCAUCUACAUUCUAGGUUAAUAUGAGUAAUUGGCUACUCAUUCCAUGUCAGCAGGAUGACACAGCCCCCAUGGGUGUGACUAUGAUGCCUCAAUUUAAGACUUCCAACCUUCUGUAAAGAUUGUAAGACACAGAAACUCUUUCCUAACUGGACUGAACAGUGAAAACAUUCAUGUGUUCAUGUAACUGGAAGUUCAGAGUCAGUUUAGCCCAGGAGCUCCUGCUCCAUUUCUCUGCAACUCCUUUGUGUGUGCUUCUCCCAUUUGAUAACAUCAUGUUUAGGUCAUUUUUCUCAGGUAGCAAAAGGACCGUGGUAGUUCCUGAACAUUCUGGCAUCUAGGCAAAGAAAUAGAAAAUCCCAGCCACAGGAUUCCAAGCAGGAGUCCUGAGACUGAGCUUGAUUGGACCCUGCCCAGCCGCUGGCUGAGUGGAACUAAGGAAGCUAAAAUGGCAUCGGGAGGCACACAAGCAUGGGGAUCAGAGGAAGAAAA
Pipistrellus kuhlii (Kuhl's pipistrelle) is the source of this 1104-nucleotide long non-coding RNA. RefSeq lists it as uncharacterized. The transcript has 2 exons. The record is from RefSeq and is a predicted model, not a curated record. NCBI's taxonomy places the organism in Eukaryota, Metazoa, Chordata, Mammalia, Chiroptera, Vespertilionidae.